Molecule: ribosomal RNA, 253 nt
Filed under: uncultured bacterium
Lineage: Bacteria
Description: partial 16S ribosomal RNA
Rfam family: Bacterial small subunit ribosomal RNA
Source: RNAcentral
UACGUAGGUGGCAAGCGUUGUCCGGAUUUACUGGGCGUAAAGCGUAUGCAGGCGGAUGAGUAAGUAGGAAGUGAAAGGUGGGAGCUCAACUCCCAGACUGCUCCCUAUACUGCUUGUCUUGAGUGCCGGAGAGGAAGAUGGAACGACACGUGUAGCGGUGAAAUGCGUUGAGAUGUGUCGGAACACCAAUGGCGAAAGCAGUCUUCUGGACGGAUACUGACGCUGAGAUACGAAAGCCAAGGGAGCGAACAGG